UACGUAGGGGGCGAGCGUUGUCCGGAUUUAUUGGGCGUAAAGAGCUCGUAGGCGGUUCGAUAAGUCGGACGUGAAAUCUCCAUGCUCAACGUGGAGGGGCCGUUCGAUACUGUCGUGACUCGAGUCCGGUAGGGGAGUGUGGAAUUCCCGGUGUAGCGGUGAAAUGCGCAGAGAUCGGGAGGAACACCCGUAGCGAAGGCGGCACUCUGGGCCGGUACUGACGCUGAGGAGCGAAAGCGUGGGGAGCAAACAGG
Molecule: ribosomal RNA, 254 nt
Filed under: uncultured bacterium
Lineage: Bacteria
Description: partial 16S ribosomal RNA
Rfam family: Bacterial small subunit ribosomal RNA
Source: RNAcentral